Molecule: unclassified non-coding RNA, 201 nt
Filed under: plant metagenome
Description: partial contains small subunit ribosomal RNA, internal transcribed spacer 1, and 5.8S ribosomal RNA
Source: RNAcentral
UCUCCGUUGGUGAACCAGCGGAGGGAUCAUUAUCGAGUUUAUAACUCCCAAACCCUAUGUGAACUUACCACUUGUUGCUUCGGCGCGCGCUUCGGCGCCGCCGAGGACACUUAAACUCUUUGUUUUUAUGAGCAUUUCUGAGUGGCCGAAAGGCAAAAUACAAAUGAAUCAAAACUUUCAACAACGGAUCUCUUGGUUCUG